RNAcentral lists this small RNA (525 nucleotides) under fungal sp. JH 134. RNAcentral describes it as "eukaryotic LSU rRNA". The stretch from base 180 to 333 matches the Rfam family "5.8S ribosomal RNA". Lineage: Eukaryota; Fungi. The record is from RNAcentral.
GCGGAAGGAUCAUUAAAGAAUCGCCCCGUUUUUUGAAAUGGGUUCUAUUCCCAAACCGUGUAUACAUACCUUUGUUGCUUUGGCAGGCCGCCUUUUAGGCGUCGGCUCCGGCUGACUGCGCCUGCCAGAGGACCCAAACUCGUUUGUUUAGUGAUGUCUGAGUACUAUAUAAUAGUUAAAACUUUCAACAACGGAUCUCUUGGUUCUGGCAUCGAUGAAGAACGCAGCGAAAUGCGAUAAGUAAUGUGAAUUGCAGAAUUCAGUGAAUCAUCGAAUCUUUGAACGCACAUUGCGCCCCUUGGUAUUCCGAGGGGCAUGCCUGUUCGAGCGUCAUUACAACCACUCAAGCCUUGGCUUGGUCUUGGGGUUCGCGGUCUCGCGGCCCUUAAAAUUAGUGGCGGUGCCGUCUGGCUCUAAGCGUAGUAAUUCUCUCGCUAUAGAGUCCCGGUGGUUACCUGCCAGAACCCCCCAUUUUUUACGGUUGACCUCGGAUCAGGUAGGGAUACCCGCUGAACUUAAGCAUAU